This is a non-coding RNA of Anguilla rostrata (American eel), 151 nucleotides long. RefSeq annotates it as small Cajal body-specific RNA 1. The transcript has a single exon. The record is from RefSeq and is a predicted model, not a curated record. Lineage: Eukaryota; Metazoa; Chordata; Actinopteri; Anguilliformes; Anguillidae.
CUGCACCUGAUACUGACCUUGCGGUCCCCGGCCUCGUGGGCUGGGCCCCUGUGGCCCCUGGGUCCCUGAAGGUGCCAGAUUAACCGCAGCCCUGAGAUUUAAGCUCUGAGUGUGGAGAAGCACUCUGAUGUUAUGACUCAGUGGCACAGAC